UACGUAGGUCCCGAGCGUUGUCCGGAUUUACUGGGUGUAAAGGGCGCGUAGGCGGGAUAGCAAGUCAGUCGUGAAAUGCCGAGGCUUAACCUCGGAGCUGCGAUUGAAACUGUUAUUCUUGAGUAUCGGAGAGGAAAGCGGAAUUCCUAGUGUAGCGGUGAAAUGCGUAGAUAUUAGGAGGAACACCAGUGGCGAAGGCGGCUUUCUGGACGACAACUGACGCUGAGGCGCGAAAGUGUGGGGAGCAAACAGG
This 253-nucleotide ribosomal RNA is filed under the name uncultured bacterium. RNAcentral describes it as "partial 16S ribosomal RNA". It matches the Rfam family "Bacterial small subunit ribosomal RNA", at positions 524 to 776 of the family's 1533-position model. The record is from RNAcentral.